Molecule: ribosomal RNA, 253 nt
Filed under: uncultured bacterium
Lineage: Bacteria
Description: partial 16S ribosomal RNA
Rfam family: Bacterial small subunit ribosomal RNA
Source: RNAcentral
UACGGAGGGUGCGAGCGUUGUCCGGAAUCACUGGGCGUAAAGGGCGCGUAGGCGGGUGCUCAAGUCCGGGGUGAAAUCCUCCAGCUCAACUGGAGAACUGCCUCGGAUACUGGGUGCCUCGAGGGUGGUAGGGGUAUGCGGAACUAUCGGUGGAGCGGUGAAAUGCGUUGAUAUCGAUAGGAACUCCGGUGGCGAAGGCGGCAUACUGGACCACAUCUGACGCUGAGGCGCGAAAGCCAGGGGAGCAAACGGG